AGUAACUGCGAGUGAAGUGGCAAAAGCUCAAAAUUGAAAUCCGGUACCUUUGGUGCCUGAGUUGUAAUUUGGAGAGACAAAUUUGGUUGACGGCGCCGGCCUAGGUUCCUUUGAACAGGACAACACAGAGGGUGAGAAUCCCGUGCCUGGCUGGAUGACCGUCGCGUUUCUAAAUUGUCUUCGACGAGUCGAGUUGUUUGGGAAUGCAGCUCAAAAUGGGUGGUAAAUGUCAUCUAAAGCUAAAUAUUGGCGAGAGACCGAUAGCGCACAAGUAGAGUGAUCGAAAGAUGAAAAGCACUUUGAAAAGAGAGUCAAAAAGUACGUGAAAUUGCUGAAAGGGAAGCGCUUGAGACCAGACUCGAACCGUGGUGAUCAGCCGUGCUUCUGUUCGGCUACACUUGCCGCGGUUUGGGCCAGCAUCGGUUCUGGCGGUCGGAUAAAAGGUGGAGGAAUGUAGCUUCCUUCGGGGAGUGUUAUCAGCCCCCACCACAAUGCGGCCAGCUGGGACCGAGGACCGCGCGGGCUCCCGCUAGGAUGCUGGCGUAAUGGUCUUAAGCGACCCGUCUUGAAACACGGACCAAGGAGUCUAACAUCUAUGCGAGUGUUCGGGUGGAAAACCCUUGCGCGAAAUGAAAGUGAACGGAGGUGGGAACCCGCGAGGGUGCACCAUCGACCGAUCCCGAAGUCUUCGGAAGGAUUUGAGUAGGAGCACAGAUGUUGGGACCCGAAAGAUGGUGAACUAUGCCUGAAUAGGGUGAAGCCAGAGGAAACUCUGGUGGAGGCUCGCAGCGGUUCUGA
Molecule: ribosomal RNA, 798 nt
Filed under: Genea fragrans
Lineage: Eukaryota; Fungi; Ascomycota; Pezizomycetes; Pezizales; Pyronemataceae
Description: LSU rRNA
Rfam family: Eukaryotic large subunit ribosomal RNA
Source: RNAcentral